CUAGCAGUCGAGCGAACAGAUAAGGAGCUUGCUCCUUUGACGUUAGCGGCGGACGGGUGAGUAACACGUGGGUAACCUACCUAUAAGACUGGGAUAACUUCGGGAAACCGGAGCUAAUACCGGAUAACAUAUUGAACCGCAUGGUUCAAUAGUGAAAGGCGGCUUUGCUGUCACUUAUAGAUGGAUCCGCGCCGUAUUAGCUAGUUGGUAAGGUAACGGCUUACCAAGGCAACGAUACGUAGCCGACCUGAGAGGGUGAUCGGCCACACUGGAACUGAGACACGGUCCAGACUCCUACGGGAGGCAGCAGUAGGGAAUCUUCCGCAAUGGGCGAAAGCCUGACGGAGCAACGCCGCGUGAGUGAUGAAGGUCUUCGGAUCGUAAAACUCUGUUAUCAGGGAAGAACAAAUGUGUAAGUAACUGUGCACAUCUUGACGGUCCUGAUCAGAAAGCCCGGCUAACUACGUGCCAGCAGCCGCGGUAAUACGUAGGUGGCAAGCGUUAUCCGGAAUUAUUGGGCGUAAAGCGCGCGUAGGCGGUUUUUUAAGUCUGAUGUGAAAGCCCACGGCUCAACCGUGGAGGGUCAUUGGAAACUGGAAAACUUGAGUGCAGAAGAGGAAAGUGGAAUUCCAUGUGUAGCGGUGAAAUGCGCAGAGAUAUGGAGGAACACCAGUGGCGAAGGCGACUUUCUGGUCUGUAACUGACGCUGAUGUGCGAAAGCGUGGRGAUCAAACAGGAUUAGAUACCCUGGUAGUCCACGCCGUAAACGAUGAGUGCUAAGUGUUAGGGGGUUUCCGCCCCUUAGUGCUGCAGCUAACGCAUUAAGCACUCCGCCUGGGGAGUACGACCGCAAGGUUGAAACUCAAAGGAAUUGACGGGGACCCGCACAAGCGGUGGAGCAUGUGGUUUAAUUCGAAGCAACGCGAAGAACCUUACCAAAUCUUGACAUCCUUUGACCGCUCUAGAGAUAGAGUCUUCCCCUUCGGGGGACAAAGUGACAGGUGGUGCAUGGUUGUCGUCAGCUCGUGUCGUGAGAUGUUGGGUUAAGUCCCGCAACGAGCGCAACCCUUAAGCUUAGUUGCCAUCAUUAAGUUGGGCACUCUAAGUUGACUGCCGGUGACAAACCGGAGGAAGGUGGGGAUGACGUCAAAUCAUCAUGCCCCUUAUGAUUUGGGCUACACACGUGCUACAAUGGACAAUACAAAGGGCAGCUAAACCGCGAGGUCAAGCAAAUCCCAUAAAGUUGUUCUCAGUUCGGAUUGUAGUCUGCAACUCGACUACAUGAAGCUGGAAUCGCUAGUAAUCGUAGAUCAGCAUGCUACGGUGAAUACGUUCCCGGGUCUUGUACACACCGCCCGUCACACCACGAGAGUUUGUAACACCCGAAGCCGGUGGAGUAACCAUUUA
Molecule: ribosomal RNA, 1407 nt
Filed under: Staphylococcus sp.
Lineage: Bacteria; Bacillati; Bacillota; Bacilli; Caryophanales; Staphylococcaceae
Description: bacterial SSU rRNA
Rfam family: Bacterial small subunit ribosomal RNA
Source: RNAcentral